CGUGGAACAGGUAAACACACGAGGAAGCAUCGAGGCUGUGGAGGUUUAUGAAGGUGUCGGAGUUCCUCACAACAUCGACUGAAUUUCGAAGUGUUCACAGCAAUAUUUCUGCUAAAAAUGAUGUGAGCAAAAGUGAGGAGGCCCCAGCAAGCACGUCUUCAGGAUCAUCCAGCACCAGCCGUGACAAGGUCCAAUCUAAACAAAAGAAAACAGUCCGAGACAAACCUCUGGAGAAGUACCUCUUAUUAAAAGAUGCUAAAGGGAAAAAAUUAAAAGCAGUGCACAGAAGAAAGAGGAGCACAGGAGGAGCGCUCUGCCAGUUUUUGGUCACACCUAUAGAUGUUUAUUAUAUAUCAUUUUAUUUAGUUUUUUUUUAUGUUUAUACAUUCAAGAAAUACAGUUGAACAUGUACAUUUCAUACAUAUGUUUAUUUGCACUACAGUUCACUUAGACUUCUAUCAUUGUGACUUUUUUGCUCUACAGCUCUGCCAGUUCUUGUUCACACAAAUUAAUGUUUAUUAUAUACCAAUUUACUUAUGUAUUUUAAGUGAUUAUACAUUUAAGAAAUUCAUUUGAAAAUUUCUAAUUUCUAAAUGUUGAUUUGCACUACCGUUCAGUUGCACUAAAGUCAUUGUGACUUUUCUGGACCAACAUUUCUGACUCCUGUUUUAUUUGAUUUUACUGUCAUGUCUCUGAUUGUUAUUGCAAACUGCAGUUCAUUCACAAAAAUAAAUGUUUGAUUAAAAAACGAA
Long non-coding RNA from Paramisgurnus dabryanus, 752 nucleotides. RefSeq lists it as uncharacterized. The record is from RefSeq and is a predicted model, not a curated record. Lineage: Eukaryota; Metazoa; Chordata; Actinopteri; Cypriniformes; Cobitidae.